AAAGUGCGAUAAGGGGACUCCGAGUGUGAAGGCAUAGAGCCUUCACUUUUGUACACCGUAAGGUGGUGCACGAAUAAGGACUGGGCAAGACUGGUGCCAGCCGCCGCGGUAAUAUCGGCAGUCCGAGUGAUGGCCGAUCUUAUUGGGCCUAAAGCGUCCNNNGCUGGCUGAACAAGUCCGUUGGGAAAUCUGUCCGCUUAACGGGCAGGCGUCCAGCGGAAACUGUUCAGCUUGGGACCGGAAGACCUGAGGGGUACGUCUGGGGUAGGAGUGAAAUCCUGUAAUCCUGGACGGACCGCCGGUGGCGAAAGCGCCUCAGGAGAACGGAUCCGACAGUGAGGGACGAAAGCUAGGGUCUCGAACCGGAUUAGAUACCCGGGUAGUCCUAGCUGUAAACGAUGUCCGCUAGGUGUGGCGCAGGCUACGAGCCUGCGCUGUGCCGUAGGGAAGCCGAGAAGCGGACCGCCUGGGAAGUACGUCUGCAAGGAUGAAACUUAAAGGAAUUGGCGGGGGAGCAUUACAACCGGAGG
Molecule: ribosomal RNA, 530 nt
Filed under: Halobacterium salinarum
Lineage: Archaea; Methanobacteriati; Methanobacteriota; Halobacteria; Halobacteriales; Halobacteriaceae
Description: bacterial SSU rRNA
Rfam family: Archaeal small subunit ribosomal RNA
Source: RNAcentral